This 91-nucleotide microRNA precursor is filed under the name Myotis lucifugus (little brown bat). RNAcentral describes it as "miRNA (ENSMLUG00000027403.1)". Lineage: Eukaryota; Metazoa; Chordata; Mammalia; Chiroptera; Vespertilionidae. The record is from RNAcentral.
UUUGUAUGUAUGUGUGUGUGUGUGUGUGUGUGUGUGUGUGUGUGUAUAUAUACACACACACACACACACACACACAUUUUCCAAAGAUAGA